GACGAACGCUGGCGGCGCGCCUAACACAUGCAAGUCGAACGGAGCUGAGAGAAGCUUGCUUUUCUUAGCUUAGUGGCGAACGGGUGAGUAACGCGUGAGUAACCUGCCCUGGAGUGGGGGACAACAGUUGGAAACGACUGCUAAUACCGCAUAAGCCCACGAUCCGGCAUCGGAUUGAGGGACAAGGAUUUAUUCGCUUCAGGAUGGACUCGCGUCCAAUUAGCUAGUUGGUGAUGUAACGGCCCACCAAGGCGACGAUUGGUAGCCGGACUGAGAGGUUGAACGGUCACAUUGGGACUGAGUCACGGCCCAGACUCCUACGGGAGGCAGCAGUGGGGGAUAUUGCACAAGGGGGGAAACCCUGAUGCAGCGACGCCGCGUGGAGGAAGUAGGUUUUCGGAUUGUAAACUCCUGUCGUUAGAGACGAUGAUGACGGUACCUAGCAAGAAAGCACCGGCUAACUACGUG
Molecule: ribosomal RNA, 468 nt
Filed under: uncultured bacterium
Lineage: Bacteria
Description: partial 16S ribosomal RNA
Rfam family: Bacterial small subunit ribosomal RNA
Source: RNAcentral